UGUGGUGGCCUAGGGAGUUUCUUCAGA
RNAcentral lists this non-coding RNA (27 nucleotides) under Homo sapiens (human). The record is from RNAcentral. Lineage: Eukaryota; Metazoa; Chordata; Mammalia; Primates; Hominidae.